This 369-nucleotide ribosomal RNA is filed under the name uncultured Smithella sp. RNAcentral's name for it is "bacterial SSU rRNA". It matches the Rfam family "Bacterial small subunit ribosomal RNA", at positions 1013 to 1382 of the family's 1533-position model. Lineage: Bacteria; Pseudomonadati; Thermodesulfobacteriota; Syntrophia; Syntrophales; Smithellaceae. The record is from RNAcentral.
UUCCCCUUCGGGGGACAGGGUGACAGGUGGUGCAUGGUUGUCGUCAGCUCGUGUCGUGAGAUGUUGGGUUAAGUCCCGCAACGAGCGCAACCCUUAUCUUUAAUUGCCAGCAUUCAGUUGGGCACUUUAAAGAGACUGCCGGUGUUAAACCGGAGGAAGGUGGGGAUGACGUCAAGUCCUCAUGGCCUUUAUGCUUAGGGCUACACACGUGCUACAAUGGGUGGUACAAAGAGAAGCCAACUCGCGAGAGCGCGCCAAUCUCAAAAAGCCAUCCUCAGUUCGGAUUGGAGUCUGCAACUCGACUCCAUGAAGGCGGAAUCGCUAGUAACCGCGAAUCAGCAGGUCGCGGUGAAUACGUUCCCGGGCCUU